GGCCUAAAGCGUCCGUAGCUGGCCGCACAAGUCUAUCGGGAAAUCUGCGUGCUUAACGCGCAGGCGUCCGGUGGAAACUGUGUGGCUUGGGACCGGAAGAUCCAGAGGGUACGUCUGGGGUAGGAGUGAAAUCCUGUAAUCCUGGACGGACCGCCGGUGGCGAAAGCGCUCUGGAAGGACUGAUCCGACGGUGAGGGACGAAAGCUCGGGUCACGAACCGGAUUAGAUACCCGGGUAGUCCGAGCUGUAAACGAUGUCUGCUAGGUGUGACACUGGCUACGAGCCAGUGUUGUGCCGUAGGGAAGCCGUGAAGCAGACCGCCUGGGAAGUACGUCCGCAAGGAUGAAACUUAAAGGAAUUGGCGGGGGAGCACUACAACCGGAGGAGCCUGCGGUUUAAUUGGACUCAACGCCGGACAUCUCACCAGCAUCGACAACGUGCCGUGAAGGUCAGUGUGAUGAGCUUACUUGGAGCCGUUGAGAGGAGGUGCAUUGGCCGCCGUCAGCUCGUACCGUGAGGCGUCCUGGUAAGUCAGGCAACGAGCGAGACCCGCACUCCUAAUUGCCAGCAACACCCUUGUUGUGGUUGGGUACAUUAGGAGGACUGCCAGUGCCAUACUGGAGGAAGGAACGGGCAACGGUAGGUCAGUAUGCCCCGAAUGUGCUGGGCGACACGCGGGCUACAAUGGCCACGACAGUGGGAUGCAACCCCGAAAGGGGGCGCUAA
This 726-nucleotide ribosomal RNA is filed under the name uncultured archaeon. Its description in RNAcentral is "bacterial SSU rRNA". It matches the Rfam family "Archaeal small subunit ribosomal RNA", at positions 507 to 1227 of the family's 1478-position model. The record is from RNAcentral.